GUCAACCCUUCUAUUAAUAGCCCCCGCCCCCACCCCCGCCCCCACCCCCUGGGUCUUUAUCACAACCAGACACUCAUCAGGUGAUUUGAUUAACAAAUUGCAGAUGGGCAGGAAGCCUUUGAGGAGUUUUUGGCGAGGUAGUAACAGUCCGCUCCAUUAAAGCUCCAGCAUGGUGGUUCUGACCCGCUUCAGAGCAGCGAGCUUCACGUCGCUCAGCCAGUUCAGUAAACGUGGACGUUUCCUGGAGGGAGAGCUUCCGAUGUCUAGAGUCUCGGAGUGGUGCGAUGUUCCUCCAUCUGAAGAUGAUACCCACCCUGGGGGGGGCAGCUCUGGUCCUCAUGUCGAGCAUCGCCUUUUAAAAAUAAAGAAGAGGAACAUCUCUGCUUCUCCACUUCCUCGAGGCGAACAGCUACAAACGGAGUGUUGGACGGGACCGGGACACCGAUUUAGAAUAUUCCAGGCCGCGCUGAUGGCCGCCACCUGCGUUAUCACACAGGCUACAAAGCAGAUGCAGCGGAACGAUUUUGGCGCGCGCGCCGCAGCGGAGACGUGGCGGCGAAUCUGGCAGGACGCUGGAGGAAUCUGCAGGAUGACGAAUGUCUCGCAGCUGAAGACUCCUGCCCACAACGGGAAGAUGACAGAAGACACCUUCAGCCGCGGCAUGUGGGCCCGCCGCUAAAUGCUACGCUGCCGGUCAAAUAUAGCGCGGUAGCUGGAGAGUAUUUUUGGUGAUGGGUGUGAUGUGAAGCGUCUGCGUGCUCAGGUUUCCUACUGAGGGAGAUUCUCGAUGAAAACAGGCUUUCUGAGGUGCAAACGCAAGAUGCCAAAAUGCUCCAAACUGGAAAAAAUUGAUUUUUUUUUUAAGGAUUCAGGAGACGUUAAAAUAACCGUUUCGCUAGAACUGAGCCCAGAGUUUCGCAACCAGACAGAUAAAAGUUAAAAAAAAAGACAUA
RNAcentral lists this long non-coding RNA (953 nucleotides) under Takifugu rubripes (torafugu). RNAcentral describes it as "lncRNA (ENSTRUG00000027323.1)". Lineage: Eukaryota; Metazoa; Chordata; Actinopteri; Tetraodontiformes; Tetraodontidae. The record is from RNAcentral.